This 346-nucleotide unclassified non-coding RNA is filed under the name soil metagenome. RNAcentral's name for it is "partial contains 5.8S ribosomal RNA, internal transcribed spacer 2, and large subunit ribosomal RNA". The stretch from base 1 to 119 matches the Rfam family "5.8S ribosomal RNA", at positions 35 to 154 of the family's 154-position model. The record is from RNAcentral.
GAUGAAGAACGCAGCGAAAUGCGAUACGUAAUGUGAAUUGCAAAUUCAGUGAAUCAUCGAGUCUUUGAACGCACAUUGCGCCCCCUGGUAUUCCGGGGGGCAUGCCUGUCCGAGCGUCAUUGCUGCCCUCAAGCACGGCUUGUGUGUUGGGCCCCGCCCUCCGAUCCCGGGGGACGGGCCCGAAAGGCAGCGGCGGCACCGCGUCCGGUCCUCGAGCAUAUGGGGCUUUGUCACCCGCUCUGUAGGCCCGGCCGGCGCUUGCCGAUCAACCCAAAUUUUUUAUCCAGGUUGACCUCGGAUCAGGUAGGGAUACCCGCUGAACUUAAGCAUAUCAAUAAGCGGAGGA